UACGUAGGGGGCAAGCGUUGUCCGGAAUCAUUGGGCGUAAAGCGCGUGUAGGCGGCUUGGUAAGUCCGGUGUGAAACCUUGGGGCUCAACCCCAAGCCUGCAUCGGAAACUGCCUCGCUCGAGUCCGGGAGGGGAGAGCGGAAUUCCUAGUGUAGCGGUGAAAUGCGCAGAUAUUAGGAAGAACACCGGUGGCGAAGGCGGCUCUCUGGAACGGUACUGACGCUGAGACGCGAAAGCGUGGGGAGCGAACAGG
This 253-nucleotide ribosomal RNA is filed under the name uncultured bacterium. Its description in RNAcentral is "partial 16S ribosomal RNA". It matches the Rfam family "Bacterial small subunit ribosomal RNA", at positions 524 to 776 of the family's 1533-position model. The record is from RNAcentral.